Molecule: unclassified non-coding RNA, 221 nt
Filed under: Hevea brasiliensis (rubber tree)
Lineage: Eukaryota; Viridiplantae; Streptophyta; Magnoliopsida; Malpighiales; Euphorbiaceae
Source: RNAcentral
GGAGAAUGCUAUCUGAGAUUGUUGCAGAGUAAAACCUAUACAAAAACUUUUCCUCACAGCAUCCAGUAACUGGGCGGCAAUGCGCUUUCUUCUGUUAGAGGGAGUGACCCAGAUUGCUCUAAUGCCACAAAUAGCGGACACAGCUUUCUCUUCACAGACAAUAGCUCCAUUGCUCUUCCUAUCCAACACUUCAAGAGAAUUGACAGUGGGGGCUUUCUUUG